This is a non-coding RNA of Phoenix dactylifera (date palm), 3872 nucleotides long. NCBI's taxonomy places the organism in Eukaryota, Viridiplantae, Streptophyta, Magnoliopsida, Arecales, Arecaceae. The record is from RefSeq and is a predicted model, not a curated record.
CCCCAGGAGCAGCGGAGAGGUGAACCAAUGGCGGUCUUGAAGCCCAAGAAGCCCCACCGAACCCCCGAGGACCUCGAGCUCCUCAAAUCCGACGUCGCCGCGCCUCCCUCGGCCUCGGGCCCCCCUCCGCCGCCGGAUUCGAUGACUCUGACUUCCGGAAAACCGGCCCCUUCCGGCCCCCCCAAACCGUGGAUCCCAGACUAUCCGCUUCCGAAAUGAUCGAUGGUGGCGAGAAGAAGAACCAGAAGGACGACUCCGGUUCCAGGUCCAAACCCAUGCCCAAGCCCCAUCCGUUGCAAAUCGAUCCGUUUGGGAACGCCAAAGAUGACAACAAGAAGAACCUCCCCAAGUUGCCGUUGAUGAAGGCGAGCGAGCUGUCGGGGCUGCGGUACGUGGACGCCGACGAGCUGGAGGGGAAGGUCCUGGGGCCGGAUGGGAGGAAGAACGUGCCGGUUUUGGGGGUCGAGGAGCUGAAGAGGCUGGCUGCGAAAAAGAAGGAGGUCGCCGAGAGGUUGCUGCAGCAGCGCACGCGAUACUAUGAUUCUCAAAGUGAUUCUUGAGGACUAAGAGCGGGGAUAUGAGGCUUCUCGAAGUGACGGCGAGGUUGAGGACCUCCGCGGAUAAGGUGUCGGCAUUCACGUGCUUGGUGGAGGACAAUUCAAUUGCCAAUAUGACGGCACUUGAUGCCCUACUAUGUUACUGCCAGGUCGCAAGUUGAAAAGCAUUUUCUAGCAUCCCUUGGAUACUUUGCCUGAAACAAAAGAUGAUUUCUCUCUUUUACUUUUUUGGUAUUGGGAGGAAUGCUUGAAGAGGUGCAUCUUGUUAGAACACAUCCUCGAAAUUUAAAUAAGGUUACCACACACCAUAUGCCUCAUGGUCAGCGAAACCGUCUCGAAUUGCCCGGUUCAGAGCAUACUGAGCUGUACUGGCUAUGGGAUAGUUCCGGCAACUAAAAUGAAAAACCGGCGACGGAGGGGGAGGAGAAGGAGAGAGAGAGAGAGAGAGAGAGAGAGAGAGAGAGAGAGAGAGAGGAAGGAAGAGAGAGGGAGGGUGGUGGCUGGCGGUGGCCUUCGGUUCUCCUGUUUCGAACGACUGGCCGGUGGAGGGUCGUGAAGGGGCGGACGAAACAGGAAAAUUGGAGGCGGAACUCCGCCGCCCCUCCACGCAGCUCGUAAGCCUCCGCUGAAUGUCCGCCACCCUCCUCUCUCUCUCUCUCUCCCUCUCCCCCUUCUCUCUCUCCUUUCCUCUCACCCAUUCUCCCUCUCCCCCUUCCCCUCUACUAUGUCGGUAAGGGCUUGGCAUGGAACAACAUGGGGGCAUACCGAUCCGUGCUGCCAGGCAAUCAGUCUGGGUUCCGGUUCCAGCAUAGCAAUGCUUGCCUCAGCCAAUAUUAGGUGUUACUUAAUGUUCUACCUUGAGAUCUUAAACAUCACUGGAUUUAAUUAUGCGUCUUUAUUAAAAUACUAUUACUGAUUCAUUUUUAUCAUCCCUUCUAAUCAAAGGCAAUGCUCCAUUAUGGUGUGAGCAUCUUCAAAUUUCUUCACAACGCUUAUCCAUUAUCUCUUAGGCCUUCCCCAGUCCAUGACUCUUCAUCCAUUCUCUGAGUACUGCUCAUCCUUCUUGGAGUUUACAUUGCAAUGUUUAAUGGAGAACCCAAGGAAAAAGAAAAACUUCAUCUGCUAAGAUUUGCAAUUUUUUUCUCUGACCUGUGAUGGAAUAUGAUUUUAAAUGUACCAUGAUGCAAGUGUUGGAGAAAGAGGAUAUGAAUAUUUCAUGGUAUGAUUGGAAAGAGUAAAUUACAUCUCUAAUUUACCAUGUUUUGCGAUUAAAUUAGAAGAAUCAACUAAUGAUAUGUAAUUCAUGCCUUAUUUCAGGUCUACUUUAGGAGCCAAAAUUUAUAUAUUUCUUUUAUUUUUUCUAUUUGAGCUUUAUUACAUUCGAACAUGUUGAUUGUAGAUAUGAACGGUUUGUUGUUGCACUCGAGGAUGCACUGAAGGGCAUGCUACCUGAUCUGAAAAACAAAGCAAUGAAGGUCAGUACCCAAUCCUCUUUUCUUUCAAAACCCUGCCCUGUAUCAGCAAACUAUUAGUUGAUAUGGGGUUACGACUUUUCAGACCAAGGUGGUAUGUGAUUUGUACACCCCUGUACCAUGGUAAUUUAAACCUUGCUGUAUAUACAUCACCAAUGCCUGGCCACUUGUUGGAGUAGCAUAAAGUUACAUGGUUUAACUAAAAAAAAAUCAUUUCCUCCUUUUGCGAUUAAUUUGUCAGUUUUAUUUUUCAAUUGUCUUUUAUACCACGCACACAUAUAUGUACAACUAUCAUGUGCCUAUGGAUAAAACUACAUCGUUUGAUUUAAAAAAAUGUUUUCUGUUUAGCUUGCCAUUUUGUUUUCUAGUCCUCCUUGUAGCCUUCUUAGGUAUACUCAUUCAUAAAACGCAAUGUCAAGGAAGUCAGUGCAAAAUUUUGUAAUGAUUUGGUUGGGACCUGGGAGAUGUGCAUGUAAAAAAUUCUUUGUUAUUGAAUUUCUUCAAUUUUGUUUAGUAAAGCAUUAGCAUAUUGAGAUACUUUUAUGUGGAAUUUAUAGGGUAAAUAUUUGUUGAUUUGCUUAAAAGGAUGAGAAAUCAAGUUUGGCGCAUUACUAAUGCAUGCACAAGUACUUACUCUUUGGAAUCAAGCAUGUCAUGUUCAUAGAUUUUGUUUUUUGGAGGACAAUGCUCUUUUUUUUAUUAGUUUAGGUAGUGAGAUAUGUCUGGCUGGGAAGUUUCUUUUCACCUUGGCUGUUAUUACCACUAUUUAUGAAUCUUUAGUGGAUGGGUGAUUUUUGACAUUCUUUUUUAUACAAAAAGAUGCCCUAUUAUUUACUUUGAUGGUGAUUAUUUGAUGGAUAUGUCAGGAACACCAUAUCUUUCUCAUGGGACAGCAUAUCUCUUUAACAAGAGGAAAUAAUUGAUCAUGUUUUCAUUGCUAUUCUUUCCAGACAGUUUACACCCUCUUGAAAAGUAAAUCAGAACAAGUGCGCAGGUUGCUCACCGCUCUUGUUAACAAACUUGGUGAUCCUGAGAGGAAAGUGGCAUCUAAUGCUUCAUAUCACUUGUCUUGCUUGUUAUCUGCACAUCCUAAUAUGAAGGUAGAGGUGUGGCCAAGUUGGGAGGCAAUAUCAUUGUUGUUUCUGGAAGUUGUAUGCAUGUGUAUAGAUUUUGUGCACCAGGCAUUCCCAAACACGUCUGCUGAUAAGUUGCAGAAAAGGAUUCCUAGAGCCAUCACGAUUCAAGAUAAAUGUUUUAAAAUAUUUUCUAGUAUAAGGUAGGUAAAUCCUAGUCAUUCUUUUACAGCCAGCCUUUGUGAAAGAAGAUAAUCCUGGGCCAUUUGCAUUAAAAUAGUAUUUGCAAAUGUCACAAAAAGAUAGGAAAAGAAAAUAGUAUUGGUAUUAAAGAUAGAGUAACAGUAAAGUACAGAGUGUGCUUUAACAGCUAUCAUUUUAUAAUUAUCAUUAUACCAUGGAAGUUAUUUGAACUUUGAUCUUUUUCUUCUGACCAAAGAGUAGUUUUUAAAUUGGAAAAUCCAUAUCUACAAUCAUGUAUUUUAUUACAUGCUGCAAUUUUAUUACUCUCUUUCACCAUGGUGUAAUAAUAGUUGUUAUAGCAAUCUAUCAUACAGCUUCAAAGACAGGUUCUUGUUUAGGGACAUGGGUGUCGCAAAAUGUUUUAGUAGCUUCGUAUAUGUAGUUUUCUAUAUUGUUAUUACUAUUAUCUUUUUGUAGUGUAGUUUAGUCUCACUUAGUUUAAGGCCGCAUAUUUAGACCCUCGACCGGGAUGAGCAGGCCCUCGGUCGUGCCUAUAAAUGUCUCAUAUUGGCACUACCGCUGUUUCG